RNAcentral lists this ribosomal RNA (509 nucleotides) under uncultured bacterium. RNAcentral describes it as "partial 16S ribosomal RNA". It matches the Rfam family "Bacterial small subunit ribosomal RNA", at positions 28 to 506 of the family's 1533-position model. The record is from RNAcentral.
GACGAACGCUGGCGGCGUGCUUAACACACGCAAGUCGAACGAAGAGCGAUGGAAGCUUGCUUCUAUCAAUCUUAGUGGCGAACGGGUGAGUAACGCGUAAUCAACCUGCCCUUCAGAGGGGGACAACAGUUGGAAACGACUGCUAAUACCGCAUACGAUCUAAUCUCGGCAUCGAGGAUAGAUGAAAGGUGGCCUCUACAUGUAAGCUAUCACUGAAGGAGGGGAUUGCGUCUGAUUAGCUAGUUGGAGGGGUAACGGCCCACCAAGGCGAUGAUCAGUAGCCGGUCUGAGAGGAUGAACGGCCACAUUGGGACUGAGACACGGCCCAGACUCCUACGGGAGGCAGCAGUGGGGAAUCUUCCGCAAUGGACGAAAGUCUGACGGAGCAACGCCGCGUGAGUGAUGACGGCCUUCGGGUUGUAAAGCUCUGUUAAUCGGGACGAAAGGCCUUCUUGCGAAUAGUGAGAAGGAUUGACGGUACCGGAAUAGAAAGCCACGGCUAACUACGU